CCCAAAACUAUUACAAUGGCCCAUAGCCCAAACCUAAUACAACCCAAAACCUAGACCCAAAUACCCUACAACCCAAAAAUAAAAAAAUCAAGGCAGAAACCCUAGCUAGGACUUUGCGCCGUAGCCAAGAACCAGACAACGCCUCCAUACGCUCCAGCACUCCAGCAGCCAGCCCCGCACCUCUGUACGCCAGCACAGCCCCCGUACUCACGCCACGCACACCUGUACCUGCAAAAAGGACGAACGCACAACAAAACAAAAAAACAAAAAACAAAGAAUAUUGUAUUUUUAUUUAUUUUUACCAUUUUAAUCCCUUCGGCUAUAAACCCAAGGGAUUUCAUCGUUCGUAAGUUUGGACAGAGGCAUGUUACGCACACAAACGCAUACAAAGCAAUCGAAUAGAAAAAGAAAGAAAGAUUUCAAGGUGGUUCAUUAUUUUUUUCUCUCUGAUUUUUUCAAGGUGGUUCAUCUUUUUUUCUCUCUGAUUUUCCUCUUUCAUUUCUUUUUUUUUUGAUCCGUUAUACGAAUAUAACAAAUACAAAAGAAAGGCUUUCUCACCUGUUGACCGGCGUCGACCUAGUCGGUGGCUACUUCUCCAGUUCAGAGGCGUACGGAUCCCUGGGGAUCCGUUUGAAGCCGUGACGGAGACGGGGUGCACUUGACUCCACUGUUGCUUGUAAGUUGGUCGAGAGAAGGGAGAGGGUCAAAGGAAUUUUGGAAGAAGGGUUUUUUUAAGAUGCUUUAAAUCUGUCAAAUGAA
Molecule: long non-coding RNA, 759 nt
Filed under: Gossypium barbadense (sea-island cotton)
Lineage: Eukaryota; Viridiplantae; Streptophyta; Magnoliopsida; Malvales; Malvaceae
Description: long non-coding RNA (GBAR_LNC001364)
Source: RNAcentral